Long non-coding RNA from Drosophila navojoa, 101 nucleotides. The record is from RefSeq and is a predicted model, not a curated record. NCBI's taxonomy places the organism in Eukaryota, Metazoa, Arthropoda, Insecta, Diptera, Drosophilidae.
AGAGAGAGAGAGAGAGAGAGUGAUGGAAGAGAGAGGGAGGGAGAGAGUGAGUCGGCAACAUUCACCGAUCGACAAUCGAGUGUGUGGGACACUUUUCAGCU